UGACCUCAGAUCAGGCAAGACUACCCGCUGAAUUUAAGCAUAUUAAUAAGCGGAGGAAAAGAAACUAACAAGGAUUCCCCU
This 81-nucleotide ribosomal RNA is filed under the name Orthopyxis sargassicola. Its description in RNAcentral is "partial 28S ribosomal RNA". It matches the Rfam family "Eukaryotic large subunit ribosomal RNA", at positions 1 to 81 of the family's 3401-position model. Lineage: Eukaryota; Metazoa; Cnidaria; Hydrozoa; Leptothecata; Campanulariidae. The record is from RNAcentral.